This 440-nucleotide ribosomal RNA is filed under the name Canis lupus familiaris (dog). Its description in RNAcentral is "partial 16S ribosomal RNA". It matches the Rfam family "Bacterial large subunit ribosomal RNA", at positions 1969 to 2578 of the family's 2925-position model. Lineage: Eukaryota; Metazoa; Chordata; Mammalia; Carnivora; Canidae. The record is from RNAcentral.
UUGUUCUCUAAAUAGGGACUUGUAUGAAUGGCCACACGAGGGUUUAACUGUCUCUUACUCCCAAUCAGUGAAAUUGACCUUCCCGUGAAGAGGCGGGAAUACCACAAUAAGACGAGAAGACCCUAUGGAGCUUUAAUUAACUAACCCAAACUUAUGGAUACUAGAUACCUACAAGGCAUAACAUAACACCAUUAUUAUGAGUUAGCAAUUUAGGUUGGGGUGACCUCGGAAUAUAAAAAAACUCCCGAGUGAUUAAAAUUUAGACCCACAAGUCAAAAUACAACAUCACUUAUUGAUCCAAUAAUUUUUGAUCAACGGAACAAGUUACCCUAGGGAUAACAGCGCAAUCCUAUUCAAGAGUCCAUAUCGACAAUAGGGUUUACGACCUCGAUGUUGGAUCAGGACAUCCUAAUGGUGCAGCAGCUAUUAAGGGUUCGUUU